GGAAUGGGCUGUUUGGGA
This 18-nucleotide microRNA is filed under the name Prunus persica (peach). Its description in RNAcentral is "microRNA miRNA_302". Lineage: Eukaryota; Viridiplantae; Streptophyta; Magnoliopsida; Rosales; Rosaceae. The record is from RNAcentral.